RNAcentral lists this ribosomal RNA (431 nucleotides) under uncultured bacterium. RNAcentral describes it as "bacterial SSU rRNA". It matches the Rfam family "Bacterial small subunit ribosomal RNA", at positions 28 to 465 of the family's 1533-position model. The record is from RNAcentral.
GAUGAACGCUGGCGGCAUGCCUUACACAUGCAAGUCGAACGGCAGCACGGGAGCAAUCCUGGUGGCGAGUGGCGAACGGGUGAAUAAUGUAUCGGAACGUACCUUUCAGUGGGGGAUAACGUAGCGAAAGUUACGCUAAUACCGCAUAUUCUGUGAGCAGGAAAGCAGGGGAUCGCAAGACCUUGCGCUGAUUGAGCGGCCGAUAUCAGAUUAGCUAGUUGGUGAGGUAAAGGCUCACCAAGGCGACGAUCUGUAGCGGGUCUGAGAGGAUGAUCCGCCACACUGGAACUGAGACACGGCCCAGACUCCUACGGGAGGCAGCAGUGGGGAAUUUUGGACAAUGGGGGCAACCCUGAUCCAGCCAUGCCGCGUGAGUGAAGAAGGCCUCGGUGUAAGCUACUUCUAGCCGGAGAAACGACGACUACUCUAAC